GGACGGGUGAGCAACGCGUGAGAAUCUGCCCUCAGGAGGGGGACAACAGCUGGAAACGGCUGCUAAUACCCCAUAUGCCGCGAGGUGAAAUGAAUUUCGCCUGAGGAUGAGCUCGCGUCUGAUUAGCUAGUUGGUGUAGGUAAUGGCUCACCAAGGCAUCGAUCAGUAGCUGGUCUGAGAGGAUGAUCAGCCACACUGGGACUGAGACACGGCCCAGACUCCUACGGGAGGCAGCAGUGGGGAAUUUUCCGCAAUGGGCGAAAGCCUGACGGAGCAACGCCGCGUGAGGGAUGAAGGCCUCUGGGCUGUAAACCUCUUUUAUCAAGGAAGAAGAUCCUGACGGUACUUGAUGAAUAAGCC
RNAcentral lists this ribosomal RNA (360 nucleotides) under uncultured bacterium. Its description in RNAcentral is "bacterial SSU rRNA". It matches the Rfam family "Bacterial small subunit ribosomal RNA", at positions 100 to 492 of the family's 1533-position model. The record is from RNAcentral.